GUCUGCAGGCUCCUAGGCUUGGCACCCAGGACUGCAGCUCCUUCCCGAGUUCAAGUUCUGAGUGCCUUCAAGGGCAGCGACAAUCCCCUGGGAGGUGGAGUUAAGUGAACCCCAAGAGGAGUCGUCCCCCCCCCCCCAACCCCGGUUGCUCUGGCCAUCAAGGCUGCUGCUCAGGGAGGAGCAAACCAGCUCCUAUGAGAGCAGACACAGGAUCCUGUGGCUUCCCCAGCAGAGGAGGUUGUAGACGCUUUGCACACCCGAUGGAGCAGCAGAGCACCUACACUGCCACUCCAGGACGCUGAUCAGCAAGGGGUUAGGGAUGAGAUGCGUUCACUUCAGAAGCACACAGACUAUGUAAACAGCCAUGCCAAAGGGCCGCUGUGCCACAAGCUCCAUUAAAUAACAGCACACUUCAAAAG
RNAcentral lists this long non-coding RNA (419 nucleotides) under Rattus norvegicus (Norway rat). RNAcentral describes it as "long non-coding RNA NONRATT020022". Lineage: Eukaryota; Metazoa; Chordata; Mammalia; Rodentia; Muridae. The record is from RNAcentral.